Molecule: ribosomal RNA, 467 nt
Filed under: uncultured bacterium
Lineage: Bacteria
Description: bacterial SSU rRNA
Rfam family: Bacterial small subunit ribosomal RNA
Source: RNAcentral
UAGGGAAUAUUGGACAAUGGGUGAGAGCCUGAUCCAGCCAUGCCGCGUGCAGGAAGAAGGCGUUAUGCGUUGUAAACUGCUUUUUGCCAGGGGAUAAAAAGACCGUGCGCGGUUAAUUGAAGGUACCUGGUGAAUAAGCCACGGCUAACUACGUGCCAGCAGCCGCGGUAAUACGUAGGUGGCAAGCGUUGUUCGGAAUUACUGGGCGUAAAGCGUACGUAGGCGGUGACUCAAGUCAGAGGUGAAAGCCUGGAGCUCAACUCCAGAACUGCCUUUGAAACUAGGUCGCUAGAAUCACGGAGAGGUGAGUGGAAUUCCGAGUGUAGAGGUGAAAUUCGUAGAUAUUCGGAAGAACACCAGUGGCGAAGGCGGCUCACUGGACGUGUAUUGACGCUGAGGUACGAAAGCGUGGGGAGCAAACAGGAUUAGAUACCCACGUAGUCCCUGAGCGGGCUGGCAAGGCGCAU